GAAAUGCGAUAAGUAAUGUGAAUUGCAGAAUUCAGUGAAUCAUCGAAUCUUUGAACGCACAUUGCGCCCCCUGGUAUUCCGGGGGGCAUGCCUGUUCGAGCGUCAUUUCACCACUCAAGCCUCGCUUGGUAUUGGGCGACGCGGUCCGCCGCGCGCCUCAAAUCGACCGGCUGGGUCUUCCGUCCCCUCAGCGUUGUGGAAACUAUUCGCUAAAGGGUGCCGCGGGAGGUCACGCCGCAAAACAACCCCAUUUCUAAGGUUGACCUCGGAUCAGGUAGGGAUACCCGCUGAACAUAAGC
RNAcentral lists this unclassified non-coding RNA (299 nucleotides) under plant metagenome. Its description in RNAcentral is "partial contains 5.8S ribosomal RNA, internal transcribed spacer 2, and large subunit ribosomal RNA". The stretch from base 1 to 105 matches the Rfam family "5.8S ribosomal RNA", at positions 50 to 154 of the family's 154-position model. The record is from RNAcentral.